This 611-nucleotide ribosomal RNA is filed under the name uncultured fungus. RNAcentral describes it as "eukaryotic LSU rRNA". The stretch from base 82 to 235 matches the Rfam family "5.8S ribosomal RNA". Lineage: Eukaryota; Fungi. The record is from RNAcentral.
CCGUUCCCUAUAACAAUACAAACGCUUCAUUGUGUCUUGUAGAAUGCAAAUACCUUUGAUUAGGUGAAACUUAAAUAAUACAACUUUCAACAACGGAUCUCUUGGCUCUCGCAUCGAUGAAGAACGCAGCGAAAUGCGAUAAGUAAUGUGAAUUGCAGAAUUCAGUGAAUCAUCGAAUCUUUGAACGCACCUUGCGCUCCUUGGUAUUCCGAGGAGCAUGCCUGUUUGAGUGUCAUGUUAAUAUCAAUCCCUUUGGCUUUGUUGUCAUUGAGAUUGGACUUGGGGGGAUAAAUGCUGGCUUCAUUGUCGGCUCCUCUUGAAUGCAUUAGCCUUAGACCUUUCUUCGCGUCUUGCAGUGUGAUAGUUAUCAUUAUUCGCUCGGAUGCCUAGAAACAGGGUCUGCUUCUAAUCGUCGCAAGACAAACUAUUUCUUGACUCUGACCUCAAAUCAGGUAGGACUACCCGCUGAACUUAAGCAUAUCAAUAAGCGGAGGAAAAGAAACUAACAAGGAUUCCCCUAGUAACUGCGAGUGAAGCGGGAAAAGCUCAAAUUUAAAAUCUGGCGGUCUUUAGGUCGUCCGAGUUGUAAUCUGGAGAAGCGUUUUCCGUGC